Molecule: ribosomal RNA, 502 nt
Filed under: uncultured bacterium
Lineage: Bacteria
Description: bacterial SSU rRNA
Rfam family: Bacterial small subunit ribosomal RNA
Source: RNAcentral
AAUGAACGCUGGCGGCGUGGAUAAGACAUGCAAGUCGAACGAAGAGAGAUUUAGUUUACUAAUGAUCUCUUAGUGGCGGACGGGUUAGUAACGCGUGAGCAACUUGCCUCAAAGAGGGGGAUAGUCCUGGGAAACUGGGUUUAAUACCGCAUGUGCUCUUCGGAGUAAAGCUGGCUUCGGCUGGUGCUUUGAGAUAGGCUCGCGUCCUAUCAGCUAGUUGGUGAGGUAACGGCUCACCAAGGCGACGACGGGUAGUUGGUCUGAGAGGACGAUCAGCAACACUGGAACUGAGACACGGUCCAGACACCUACGGGUGGCAGCAGUCGAGAAUCAUUCACAAUGGGGGCAACCCUGAUGGUGCAACGCCGCGUGGAGGAUGAAGGCCCUAGGGUCGUAAACUCCUGUCAUAUGAGAGUAAGGCAUAUUAGUUAAUAGCUGGUAUGUUUGAUAGUAUCAUAAGAGGAAGGGACGGCUAACUUCGUGCCAGCCGCCGCCGUAACAC